RNAcentral lists this ribosomal RNA (200 nucleotides) under uncultured bacterium. RNAcentral describes it as "partial 16S ribosomal RNA". It matches the Rfam family "Bacterial small subunit ribosomal RNA", at positions 8 to 200 of the family's 1533-position model. The record is from RNAcentral.
AGAGUUUGAUCAUGGCUCAGGACGAACGCUGGCGGCGUGCCUAAUACAUGCAAGUCGAGCGGAUCUGAUGAGGUGCUUGCACCUCUGAUGGUUAGCGGCGGACGGGUGAGUAACACGUAGGCAACCUGCCCUCAAGACCGGGAUAACAUUCGGAAACGAAUGCUAAGACCGGAUACGCAAGUCUAUCGCAUGAUGGAUUU